UCUUCAGCUGUUUUGCUCUCUUCCCUCUAUUCUUUUCUUCUUCUUCCCACAACCGAGAGCCUCAAAGGUUUAUGAGGUCUUCAGCCAUAUGACAUUAGUACUCGCUCUAACGCUGACUGUUUGGGCUCUUCCAUGGCAAAUAAACUUUUUAUAAUUGUUCGGAAACAGGUCAGUCAUCCAGAUCUGAAGUACAAAAAGAUGGGUCUAAUUGGAAUCUUGAAAAUAGUUUCAUGUCUAGGAG
Hibiscus syriacus is the source of this 241-nucleotide long non-coding RNA. RefSeq lists it as uncharacterized. The transcript is spliced from 3 exons. NCBI's taxonomy places the organism in Eukaryota, Viridiplantae, Streptophyta, Magnoliopsida, Malvales, Malvaceae. The record is from RefSeq and is a predicted model, not a curated record.